CCUACGGGAGGCAGCAGUGAGGAAUAUUGGUCAAUGGGCGGGAGCCUGAACCAGCCAAGCCGCGUGAGGGAAGAAGGUACAGCGUAUCGUAAACCUUUUUUGUCAGGGAACAAAGGCGGGGACUAGUCCACGGAUGAGGGUACCUGAAGAAAAAGCAUCGGCUAACUCCGUGCCAGCAGCAGCGGUAAUACGGAGGAUGCGAGCGUUAUCCGUAUUUAUUGGGUUUAAAGGGUGCGCAGGCGGCCUGUUAAGUCAGCGGUAAAAGCCCGGGGCUCAACCCCGGCGAGCCGUUGAUACUGGCGGGCUGGAGUUGGAGAGAAGUACGCGGAAUGCGCGGUGUAGCGGUGAAAUGCUUAGAUAUCGGGCAGAACCCCGAUUGCGAAGGCAGCGUACCGGCUCCACACUGACGCUGAGGCACGAAAGCGUGGGUAGCGAACAGGAUUAGAUACCCGUGUAGUC
RNAcentral lists this ribosomal RNA (459 nucleotides) under uncultured bacterium. RNAcentral describes it as "partial 16S ribosomal RNA". It matches the Rfam family "Bacterial small subunit ribosomal RNA", at positions 338 to 795 of the family's 1533-position model. The record is from RNAcentral.